Molecule: ribosomal RNA, 597 nt
Filed under: Triticum aestivum (bread wheat)
Lineage: Eukaryota; Viridiplantae; Streptophyta; Magnoliopsida; Poales; Poaceae
Description: partial small subunit ribosomal RNA
Source: RNAcentral
AUGAUGCAAAAUGGACGUAUCACCCACCCACAGUCGAAUGGACAAGCUAAAAGAGCAAACGGAUUGAUUCUCAAAGGAUUGAAACCCCGAUUGAUGUGUGACCUCAAGCAUGCAGCAGGCGCCUGGGUCGAUGAACUUCCAUCAGUACUUUGGGGAUUGAGGACAACUCCUAAUCGGUCGACUGGCCGAACUCCAUUCUUCUUAGUCUAUGGGACUGACGCCGUGCUUCCGAGUGACUUGCUUCACAAUGCACCCCGAGUCGAACUUUUCUCAAAAGAUGAAGCAGAACAGGCUCGGCAAGAUGUAGUUGAUCUCCUGGAAGAGGAAAGAGAGAUGGCCCUAAUCCGGUCAACCAUUUAUCAGCAUGACCUGCGUCGAUUCCAUGCCCGAAACGUGACAGGUCGAGCAUUUCAAGAGGGAGACUUAGUUCUUCGAGUGGAUCAGCAGAAACCACACAAGCUCGCUCCUGCUUGGGAAGGCCCCUUCAUCGUCACCAAAGUGCUGCACAACGGAGCAUAUCGCCUCUACAACAUCGAGCGCAAUAAAGACAAGCCACGCGCUUGGAAUGCGGAGCUACACCGCCCCUUUUAUACUUAA